This 575-nucleotide long non-coding RNA is filed under the name Carica papaya (papaya). Its description in RNAcentral is "long non-coding RNA (CPAP_LNC016668)". The record is from RNAcentral. Lineage: Eukaryota; Viridiplantae; Streptophyta; Magnoliopsida; Brassicales; Caricaceae.
CUAACUAAGAGAGAAACUCGAAAAUAAAACUAUGAGUAUGACUACAGAGUCUCUAGGCAUCCCCUUCGUCGUCCUCCUGCGGAACGGGCUCGGGAACCAUGUCUUCCUGAUCUGAAAUGGUUAAAUAAGGAGUGAGCUACACUAGCCCAGUAAGAACAUCACGAUAUCUCACCGUCACGGAGGUAAAGGUGGGUAGAAAAACACAAAAAGACCAAUGGAGCAUAAUUUACAAUAAACUCGUUUAUUAACAUGAAAACCUUCACCAUCCACUUACCUCGGUGGAAUUUAUGAAAAUAAUAUAAGAAAAAUAAUAACAUUAUCAUAAUCAUGGAAUAAUAUAAGCUGUAAAACAUAACACUUAUCACGCCUCUUGUAAUUCAAUCAUUGUACAACAUAUCUUUUUCUCAUUUACCAGCCUACCAGUAUCCGUGGGGGUCCAUAGGGGUUCCGCUACCCGUUAACCUUUAACAUUCAUAAUCAGUUUCCAGGGCCGUCCCCAUACCCCGUCCGGUAUGGGCGCCAAAACCAUGAACCUCAAUACCCCGUCCGGUAUGAGGGUGAAACGGGCCGUCCCC